This 440-nucleotide long non-coding RNA is filed under the name Mytilus galloprovincialis (Mediterranean mussel). Lineage: Eukaryota; Metazoa; Mollusca; Bivalvia; Mytilida; Mytilidae. The record is from RNAcentral.
UUUAAACUGGAUUUCAAAACUCACAUUUCAAAUAUUUGCAAAAAAGCUGCACGACAACUAAAACGUUCUAAAAAGAAUUGGCACUCAUCUCACCAGACUUUCUAAACUCACAAUAUACCACUCAUUUAUAUCAUGUCAAACCUCAGCUAUUGUCCUCUUACAUGACACUUCUGCAGUGAACAAAACACAAAGAAAAUAGAAAAAAUACAAGAAAGAGCAUGCACUCAGAUUUAUUUAUGACGACUACACAAAUUCUUACGAUACACUUCUUGAACAGUCUAAGCUUCCAGCACUAAAAAUCAGAAGAUUGAGAACCAUGGCAUUAGAGACAUAUAAAGUUAUUAUUAAUAAAUCAAGUCCAGAAUUCCUACAUAAUUUAGUAAAUAUUAAAGAAAAUUCAUAUAACUUCGGGUACAAAGCAUAGCAGAUAUAUCACGGCC